AACGAACGCUGGCGGCAGGCUUAACACAUGCAAGUCGAGCGCCUCGCAAGAGGAGCGGCAGACGGGUGAGUAACACGUGGGAAUCUACCCAUCCCUGCGGAACAACUCCGGGAAACUGGAGCUAAUACCGCAUACGCCCUACGGGGAAAGAUUUAUCGGGAUGGAUGAGCCCGCGUUGGAUUAGCUAGUUGGUGGGGUAA
This 200-nucleotide ribosomal RNA is filed under the name uncultured bacterium. Its description in RNAcentral is "partial 16S ribosomal RNA". It matches the Rfam family "Bacterial small subunit ribosomal RNA", at positions 29 to 260 of the family's 1533-position model. The record is from RNAcentral.